RNAcentral lists this transfer RNA (57 nucleotides) under Fukomys damarensis (Damara mole-rat). It matches the Rfam family "tRNA", at positions 8 to 63 of the family's 71-position model. From Rfam's summary of the family: Transfer RNA (tRNA) molecules are approximately 80 nucleotides in length. Their secondary structure includes four short double-helical elements and three loops (D, anti-codon, and T loops). The record is from Rfam by way of RNAcentral. Lineage: Eukaryota; Metazoa; Chordata; Mammalia; Rodentia; Bathyergidae.
UAGCUCAGAAGUAGAGCAUGUGCUUAGGAUGCACAAGGUCCUGGGUUCAAUCCCCAG